GGAUGGAUGUCUGAGCGGUUGAAAGAGUAGGUCUUGAAAACCGAAGUAUUGAUAGGAAUACCGGGGGUUCGAAUCCCUCUCCAUCCG
Molecule: transfer RNA, 87 nt
Filed under: Triticum aestivum (bread wheat)
Lineage: Eukaryota; Viridiplantae; Streptophyta; Magnoliopsida; Poales; Poaceae
Rfam family: tRNA
About the family: Transfer RNA (tRNA) molecules are approximately 80 nucleotides in length.
Source: Rfam by way of RNAcentral